This 1266-nucleotide long non-coding RNA is filed under the name Hordeum vulgare. Its description in RNAcentral is "long non-coding RNA (HVUL_LNC012774)". Lineage: Eukaryota; Viridiplantae; Streptophyta; Magnoliopsida; Poales; Poaceae. The record is from RNAcentral.
AAAAUAACCAUGUAAAAGUGGACGAAAAUUAACCGGUGACAAAAUUGAACCGGUGAGAUUCGGCUACCAACUACCUCUUUAUUAGUAGAGAUCCUUUUCCCCAAUGAACCAACCAGCACCAUGGACGCGUCCAGCUCUUGCAGGAGCCAGAUCCAACACCCGCAGUCUCCCUCCUGGUGAUCCAACCAGCGCCCGAUUGCUCCUCCCGCAGCGCGGACGCGCCCACCCAAGUGGAUGCCUAGCUGCUCCAGUAGCCAUGGUCAUGGCGCCCGAGCGUCCGUGCCUUCCCACGCCGUGCACUCUUGAGAGGAACUCCCUUGCUCCGGCUGGCCACCAACAACCUCGAGGGCAGUCCCUCAUGCCUCCUUCCCCUCUCCUUUCUCAUCCUCUUACUUCCUAUCUCUCCCUUUCUAUGAGCUCCCUAUCCCUCGUGCUUUCUUCUCGCAAGAGCCACUAGGGCUGACCGAAGCUUUGACCGCUCCUUCGCGAGGCUGCCGCCGCAUCUCCAGCCCUCGUCGCCGACCUGCAAGACGAGAAGAAGAAACAAGGACGUUGUCGCUUCAUGGAGCUUCCUAUGCUCAGAGCUUCAUACCCCUCACCCACGCUGGAUCCGCCUCCUCACGACCGGAUCCAGCGCCUCCAUGGCCCUGCCGGACCUCGACCCCCUCUGCCAGCGCCAUCCCCGUCCAGUUUCCUUGCGCCGCAGGUGUGUAGCCCCCAGAUCCGCCAUUGUUGUGUCGUUGCCUGCGUCUGUUCAUGGAGAAGAAGACUCAUUGAAACGUUAGUACUUAUUGCACUUAGCUGCUAGCACAUCAAAUGAGAAAGCAUAGCCGAGCUGGCUAGCACCGCUCGGUUACAUCCUAGAGAUCUCGGUUUUUGCCCUGUUUUUGUUGAUCUCGACUCGGCUGAAGUGCUACUUCAUCCACGAAGAAUCUUGUACAAUAUCAUAAAUAGAGAAACUAGCUUAGUUGGCUAGCGCAACAGGUCUUCAACUACGAGGUCCACGGACCAAAUCCCCGCGGCCUAUCUUUUAUUUUUACCUAGUGUAUUUUUUUGCACACACGCACUCUCAGCAGUUUUGGGCGAGACAUACUGCUAGGCUUGCGCAGUGCACAACAUUGAGCCUAUAUGUACUUUUUGGUUCGCUGCGAUUAAUCAAAUUGUUCACGAACUUCUAUAUGUACAAAAUGCCAUUAUUGUGCAUUGCUCAUAAAUCAUUAACCGUGCAUUGGAUCAAAUGAUUUAUAUAUGUUAAAUAAGUAGACU